GAAGGUAGAGCUCAAGUGGUAGAGAGCAUGCUUAGCAUGCAUGAGGUCCUGGGUUCAAUCCCCAGUACUUCCU
This 73-nucleotide transfer RNA is filed under the name Camelus bactrianus (Bactrian camel). It matches the Rfam family "tRNA". Rfam says of the family: Transfer RNA (tRNA) molecules are approximately 80 nucleotides in length. Their secondary structure includes four short double-helical elements and three loops (D, anti-codon, and T loops). The record is from Rfam by way of RNAcentral. Lineage: Eukaryota; Metazoa; Chordata; Mammalia; Artiodactyla; Camelidae. RNAcentral also lists the same sequence under 2 other names.